This 465-nucleotide ribosomal RNA is filed under the name uncultured bacterium. Its description in RNAcentral is "partial 16S ribosomal RNA". It matches the Rfam family "Bacterial small subunit ribosomal RNA", at positions 28 to 507 of the family's 1533-position model. The record is from RNAcentral.
GACGAACGCUGGCGGUGUGCUUAACACAUGCAAGUCGAACGGUAAGGCCCUUUCGGGGGUACACGAGUGGCGAACGGGUGAGUAACACGUGAGUAACCUGCCCUCAUCUCUGGGAUAACAGUCGGAAACGGUUGCUAAUACUGGAUAUGAGCCUGCAAGGCAUCUUGUGGGUUGGAAAGAUUUUUUGGUUGGGGAUGGACUCGCGGCCUAUCAGCUUCUUGGUGAGGUAGUGGCUCACCAAGGCUUCGACGGGUAGCCGGCCUGAGAGGGCGACCGGCCACAUUGGGACUGAGAUACGGCCCAAACUCCUACGGGAGGCAGCAGGGGGGAAUAUUGCACAAUGGACGGAAGUCUGAUGCAGCAACGCCGCGUGCGGGAUGACGGCCUUCGGGUUGUAAACCGCUUUCAAUUGUGACGAAGCUUUUUGUGACGGUAGCAGUAGAAGAAGCACCGGCUAACUACGUG